RNA transcript from Larimichthys crocea (large yellow croaker), 862 nucleotides. It is a transcript of the gene named excitatory amino acid transporter 3-like, with no coding region annotated. The record is from RefSeq and is a predicted model, not a curated record. Lineage: Eukaryota; Metazoa; Chordata; Actinopteri; Sciaenidae. The transcript has 4 exons.
GGAGUUCUACCGUUCAUCUAUACAUAUUUUUGAGAAAAAGCCCUUUUCCUGUCAUUAAGAGUUUUUUUUCUGCUUUAAAGAAGGCCUUGCUCAACUCACGUAGGGCUGCGUUUGAGGAGGCUCUUCGAUGUUGUGAGGAAGUAAACGCGAUUGACAGGAGAAUCACUGGCUUCAUGCUGCCGUUUGGGAGCGUCGUCAACCUUUUUUAUAGCCCAGUUCUGCGGCAUGCCACUGAACUGGAGCAGGUUAAUCAUGCUUGUUAAUGGUGUCCAUCAUAGGAUACUCAUCCACAGGAGCAUCCACCACUCUCUUCAUUUUGGCAGUGGUUGGGAUUCCUGCAAGGGACCUUUCCCUUUUGUUUGCAUUAGAAUGGAUUUUAGAUCGCUGCAACUCUACUGUCAACGUCCUGGGAGACUGCGUUGGUGUGUUGAUUGUUGAGCAUCUGUCAAAAAGAGAACUCGAGGAAAUGGACGGGGGACAAAGGGAAGGGACACAGCCAGGUGAGGUUUUAGUUUUUUUUUGUUUUUUUUUACAGCAUCACAAGGGACAUCAGCACAUAAUAGAUGAUUGUAACCCAGUACAUGGACAAAUGAACAGAGCACAUUCUAUUUUUUUGUAGCUGAUUAUUAUCAUUUUUAUUAGUAGUAUGUGAGUAAAUGAUUUACAUGGAUAUGGAAAAAUUUGACACUUUGCAUUUAUGUCAUUCAAAUAUUGAAAAACAGAGCCCUGAUGAGGAGAGGCGCUCCAGGUACACACCAGUAGGGUUUCUGGUUGGCAAAGAUUUGCUUAUUUGAUUUAUUUGGAAUUUUUGUUGAUUUGUGUUUUUGCUGUUACAUAUUGAUUUUGUGUUUGUGCUGUAAAA